Ruditapes philippinarum (Manila clam) is the source of this 1454-nucleotide long non-coding RNA. RefSeq lists it as uncharacterized. The record is from RefSeq and is a predicted model, not a curated record. Lineage: Eukaryota; Metazoa; Mollusca; Bivalvia; Venerida; Veneridae. The transcript has 3 exons.
AAAUAUGAAUAAUUUCGUUUGAAUAUUUGAUCAAAGACUUUUAAAGCUAUACUAUAACUCAUGUUUGUUUAUCAAUAAAGACAUUAUAGCGGGAGACAACAUUUUAUAUGCGCUUCAGUAUUAUUACUGUCUGUCACUAUCAUCAGCCAUUAAUGCAAAUAUUGGUCGAUGUCAUGUACACUUAACUCUCCUGUCCGCUAUAUUGAUUUUCUGUACUACAAGAUAGUAAAAAGCACGAUUUUAUGGAAACUAUCUCUCAGAUAUUUUAUGAUCAGUUCCAUUGUUUUGACAUAUUACUGGAAUAAAGAAUAACUAUGACUGUCAAAGACACUACAUGUUCACAUCCUACUAAUCAAUCAAUUGCGAAAGGACAGAAAUUUGCUGCAGACGAGACUCAACAAAUCUCAGAUGGAAUGAUUGGUGCAAUAUUGGUUGCUAUGGAUACAAAAGCAGACAUGAACAUAGUGGAGUUCAGUUACGAUAUAUCUGACAUAGAACUUGCACCCGGAGAUCCUAUACCCAAUUCUGACCUUCCUACUAGAAUCAAAAAGAACAAAAAGAUAAAGAAAAGAAGGAAAAAACAAGACAAUGACGAUAACAAUAGACAAUAUAUUUUCUCAAUGCACAGACGAGUAAAAAGGACUCACUCUACUGCAGUGCUAAAAGUUGAAUGAUAUAUGAACAACUAUAUUAUUAUGUAGUGCUGAACUAAACUUUGAUCUCAAUCAUCAUUCAUUCUAGAUACGUUAUUUUGUUUGAAAUAGAGAUAUAAGUAUGUACAUCUUUGAAACAUGAAGUCGAUAUUUUAGUUUGUUCUUAAUUAAAGGGAAGUAACUUGAUUUUUAUAAAAUAAUACAAUUCCUAAUAUUAAUUAUUAAAUGUUCUUAUAGGAUCACGCCUAACUUAUACAUGAAAAUGAACAUCUUUUUUCUAUAAAAUAUAUCUAUUAUAUUGGUAUUUAACAUAAAAAUGAAUAAAUGCUGACAAUGUUAAAUAAUGUACAUACGAGAUCGUAAUUUUGUGUAUUUUGACAUGAUUUCGAUUUAUAAAAUGUGUCAUAUAUGUAUUUAUACAUUUUUUCAUAAUAAUGCAUUUUUACGAGUAUAAUAUUGCACUAAAAUAUAUUUAUAUAUUGAUGAAUUGUAAUAAAAAUGAUGUUUCAAAACGCAUGGUAUAUGUAGCAUAAAGAACAUUCCGUCUUUCCUAGUUGAUCUUGUUUGUCAUAUUUUACCAUAGAGUAUAAUUUCUAACUAAGGGGAGGGAAGCAAGUUGACAAUGUAAAAACCUUAAAUUGAAUUUGCCAUUUAUAAUUUAAAUUGCAGUUAGAAAUAAGAUUCGAUAUUUUAUUAUUUUUGUACAAAACUAUCAGAGUUUUAUUCAAUUAUGUAAAUGCUAAUGUGUACAGUUCAUUUUUUUUUCAAGUAGAAAGUACGGCUAGAAUAAUGUUUUAAUUA